RNAcentral lists this unclassified non-coding RNA (191 nucleotides) under soil metagenome. RNAcentral's name for it is "partial contains 5.8S ribosomal RNA, internal transcribed spacer 2, and large subunit ribosomal RNA". The record is from RNAcentral.
AAGACUAUAGACCUGCGGAGUACCUGCGGAAGGAUCAUUAACAAGUCCAUGUGCCUUGCAUGCAUGCAUUUGUGUGCAUGUGAGGGACACUUGCUCCGUGUGCAUUCCAUGUGCACAUUGAACACAUUUCUGCAAAUUGUCUGAUUAUAUUUGUUGAUUAACUACUAAACAACUUUCAACAAUGGAUCUCU